Molecule: RNase P RNA, 358 nt
Filed under: Chloroflexota bacterium
Lineage: Bacteria; Bacillati; Chloroflexota
Description: Chloroflexi bacterium RNase P RNA component class A
Rfam family: Bacterial RNase P class A
About the family: Ribonuclease P (RNase P) is a ubiquitous endoribonuclease, found in archaea, bacteria and eukarya as well as chloroplasts and mitochondria. Its best characterised activity is the generation of mature 5'-ends of tRNAs by cleaving the 5'-leader elements of precursor-tRNAs.
Source: RNAcentral
GGGUUUGCCAAGGAGAUCGCGGCAGGUCCUGCGCCUGUCGAGGAAAGUCCGCACUCCACAGGGUAACGAUGCCGGCUAACCGCCGGGCAGGGCGACCUGACGGCAAGUGCAACAGAGAACAGAUUGCAGCGCGAGCUGUGAGGGUGAAAAGGCGCGGUAAGAGCGCACCGGACGCGGCAGCAAUGUCGCGUGCCAGGCAAACCCCAUCGGGAGCAAGGUGAAGCAGGCGCAAUUGGAGGGGCCCCUUCUGCAAAAAGCGCCGGGUGCACCGCUAGAGGUCGUCGGCAACGGCGACCCCAGAUAGAUGAUCUCCCCGUCUGCGGACGGACAGAAUGCGGCUUAUGCGGCAGACCCGGAU